This 73-nucleotide transfer RNA is filed under the name Chloroflexi bacterium RBG_13_51_36. RNAcentral's name for it is "tRNA-Val". It matches the Rfam family "tRNA". Rfam says of the family: Transfer RNA (tRNA) molecules are approximately 80 nucleotides in length. The record is from RNAcentral. Lineage: Bacteria; Bacillati; Chloroflexota.
GGGCGGUUAGCUCAGAGGUUAGAGCGCUGCGUUGACAUCGCAGAGGUCACUGGUUCAAGUCCAGUACCGCCCA